RNAcentral lists this ribosomal RNA (477 nucleotides) under uncultured bacterium. RNAcentral describes it as "partial 16S ribosomal RNA". It matches the Rfam family "Bacterial small subunit ribosomal RNA", at positions 28 to 507 of the family's 1533-position model. The record is from RNAcentral.
GAUGAACGCUGGCGGCGUGCCUAAUACAUGCAAGUCGAGCGAACGGACGAAACGCUUGCUGCUCUGAUGUUAGCGACGGGCGGGUGAGUCACAAGUAGAUAACCUACCUAUAUGACUUAACUAACUUCGAGAAAGCGGAGCUAAUACCAGAUACUAUUUUGAACCGCAUGGUUCAUAGGAGAAAGACGGUCUUUCUGUCACUUACAGAUGGGUCCGCGGUGCAUCAGCUUGUUGGUGAGGUAAUGGCUGACCAAGGCAACGAUGGGUAGCCGACCUGAGAGGGUGACCGGCGACACUGGGACUGAGAGACGGCCCAGACUCGUACGGGAGGCAGAAGUGGGGAAUAUUGCACAAGGGGCGCAAGCCUGAUGCAGCAACGCCGCGUGAGGGAUAACGGCCUUCGGGUUGUAAACCUCUUUUAGUAGGGAAGAAGCGCAAGUGACGGUACCUGAAGAAAAAGCACCGGCUAACUACGUG